This 662-nucleotide ribosomal RNA is filed under the name uncultured bacterium. RNAcentral describes it as "bacterial SSU rRNA". It matches the Rfam family "Bacterial small subunit ribosomal RNA", at positions 62 to 704 of the family's 1533-position model. The record is from RNAcentral.
UCGAGCGGAACGAGUUAUCUGAACCUUCGGGGGACGAUAACGGCGUCGAGCGGCGGACGGGUGAGUAAUGCCUAGGAAAUUGCCCUGAUGUGGGGGAUAACCAUUGGAAACGAUGGCUAAUACCGCAUAAUACCUACGGGUCAAAGAGGGGGACCUUCGGGCCUCUCGCGUCAGGAUAUGCCUAGGUGGGAUUAGCUAGUUGGUGAGGUAAUGGCUCACCAAGGCGACGAUCCCUAGCUGGUCUGAGAGGAUGAUCAGCCACACUGGAACUGAGACACGGUCCAGACUCCUACGGGAGGCAGCAGUGGGGAAUAUUGCACAAUGGGCGCAAGCCUGAUGCAGCCAUGCCGCGUGUGUGAAGAAGGCCUUCGGGUUGUAAAGCACUUUCAGUCGUGAGGAAGGUAGUGUAGUUAAUAGCUGCAUUAUUUGACGUUAGCGACAGAAGAAGCACCGGCUAACUCCGUGCCAGCAGCCGCGGUAAUACGGAGGGUGCGAGCGUUAAUCGGAAUUACUGGGCGUAAAGCGCAUGCAGGUGGUUUGUUAAGUCAGAUGUGAAAGCCCGGGGCUCAACCUCGGAAUAGCAUUUGAAACUGGCAGACUAGAGUACUGUAGAGGGGGGUAGAAUUUCAGGUGUAGCGGUGAAAUGCGUAGAGAUCUGAAGG